AAUGUAAUGUGAUGGAAUCUGGAAUCAGAAGUAUGUUUUCUUUUAGCUCCAUUUUUCACAUUUUAGACGCAUCCCUUUGUGUGUUUUUGAAGGUAGUGAGUUUUUAGACUAAAAAGGUCAAUUAUGCGCAAAAUUGAAUAUGGCCUCCAAAUUCAGAGGGAAAAUUGAGCUUUUUUUUCCUUUGGUUUUUUUCCAAUUCAAAUUAGGUAAUUUGCCUUUUCAGUUCCAUUUGGGGAACCCCUAAUUACCACCGACAUAUUUUAUUGAAUGGCAUUGAUAACGCUCAGCGAGAUUUAAAAAGCUCUAACUUCAUCGUAUUGCACCUCCUUCAAUUAGACACAGUAGCAAAAAAAUGCAGUCAUCCCUUUCAAAUUGGAACGUUCAAAUCAACCAUUUGAGUUUUAGAUCAAACAGAAGCCUACUAAGAUCAAGCUCUCUACCAAGAAAAGAACUCCGUUGUGUUAUUCUCACUUCCUCUGCUAAAUCCUUCUCAAAACUUCUACUCCCAAAUAAACACUGGAUCUCACCCCCUAGCCUCCUGUCGAGAGCAAAAUCAACAAUCCCAGUUCUUGAUUGUGGCAUAUCAUCAGACAAUUUAAGCACAGGUAGUGAUCGGAGUUUUAGGGAGUGGAUUGGGGUGGUUGGUGAGGCGAUAUCUACGGCAUUUCCUAUAUGGGUAUCUUUGGGUUGUUUAUUGGCGCUCAUACUUAUUCUCACUUAUAUAUAAUAAAAAUUAUUAAAAAAUAUAGAAAAUUUCUGAAAAAAGGGAAAGGAAAUGCUUGAAGGAAAAUAUGCCAAGUCAACUUUUUAAAUUUUUUUCUUUAGGAUUAUAUAUAUAUAUAUAUAGAUUAAAGUAUUUCAAACUGCAUAGUUUUAGAAUAAAGUAGAAGUUUUUUUAAUAUUAAAAUUUUAAAAUAUUGUACACAAGUUUCAUAUUUUUAUAUUAAAAUAAAUAAUUAAAAAUAAAAGAUAAAAAAAUAAAGUUCGGUAUAUGGAUUAGAAUAUGAAAUUUUUAUUAUGCUUCCACUCCAUAUUUUAUUAUCAAGAUUUUAAAAAAUACGUUUCAUUUUAAAAUGUUAUUUCAAAAUUCUAUUCCAAAUUGAUUUGUAAUUUCAAUUUAUUUUAUUUCAAAAUUCUACUCCAAAUUGAUUUGUCAUUUCAAUUUGAAUGGGCAUAUUUCAAACCAAUUUAUAUUUCAAUUUUUUUCCGUUGAUCCUUAUUUUUGGAUUGUCCUAUUCACUGCAUUUUUUGCUUCAAGAAUCUGAAACUUUUUUUUAUUUUUUCUAUUUUUAUUGGUACAUGAUUUUUUUUUAUUAUUACUUCUUAUUUUUGGAUCGUCCUAUUCACUGUUUACUGAACCUGAAAUCUCAUUCUUUGGCUUACGGGUAGUAUUACUACUUCGUCUUAACGUCUUAUUGAUUGUUUUAUGUCUCUUAUGAACUGAUCUCUCUAUUUGUUAUUGGUUUUUGGAUUAAAUGACAUAGCUUGUGUCUUUAUAUACAGAUUUGUGCGUUUUGUGUGAAUGUAAUGUGAUGGAAUCUGGAAUCAGAAGUAUGUUUUCUUUUAGCUCCAUUUUUCACAUUUUAGACGCAUCCCUUUGUGUGUUUUUGAAGGUAGUGAGUUUUUAGACUAAAAAGGUCAAUUAUGCGCAAAAUUGAAUAUGGCCUCCAAAUUCAGAGGGAAAAUUGAGCUUUUUUUUCCUUUGGUUUUUUUCCAAUUCAAAUUAGGUAAUUUGCCUUUUCAGUUCCAUUUGGGGAACCCCUAAUUACCACCGACAUAUUUUAUUGAAUGGCAUUGAUAACGCUCAGCGAGAUUUAAAAAGCUCUAACUUCAUCGUAUUGCACCUCCUUCAAUUAGACACAGUAGCAAAAAAAUGCAGUCAUCCCUUUCAAAUUGGAACGUUCAAAUCAACCAUUUGAGUUUUAGAUCAAACAGAAGCCUACUAAGAUCAAGCUCUCUACCAAGAAAAGAACUCCGUUGUGUUAUUCUCACUUCCUCUGCUAAAUCCUUCUCAAAACUUCUACUCCCAAAUAAACACUGGAUCUCACCCCCUAGCCUCCUGUCGAGAG
RNAcentral lists this long non-coding RNA (2069 nucleotides) under Jatropha curcas. Its description in RNAcentral is "long non-coding RNA (JCUR_LNC002913)". Lineage: Eukaryota; Viridiplantae; Streptophyta; Magnoliopsida; Malpighiales; Euphorbiaceae. The record is from RNAcentral.